AGUGAACGCUGGCGGUAGGCCUAACACAUGCAAGUCGAACGGCAGCACAGUAAGAGCUUGCUCUUACGGGUGGCGAGUGGCGGACGGGUGAGGAAUACAUCGGAAUCUACUUUUUCGUGGGGGAUAACGUAGGGAAACUUACGCUAAUACCGCAUACGACCUACGGGUGAAAGCAGGGGAUCUUCGGACCUUGCGCGAUUGAAUGAGCCGAUGUCGGAUUAGCUAGUUGGCGGGGUAAAGGCCCACCAAGGCGACGAUCCGUAGCUGGUCUGAGAGGAUGAUCAGCCACACUGGAACUGAGACACGGUCCAGACUCCUACGGGAGGCGGCAGUGGGGAAUAUUGGACAAUGGGGGAAAGCCUGAUCCAGCAAUACCGCGUGGGUGAAGAAGGACUUCGGGUUGUAAAGCCCUGUUGUUGGGAAAGAAAAGCAGCAGGUUAAUACCCCGCUGUUCUGACGGUACCCAAAGAAUAAGCACCGGCUAACUUCGUG
RNAcentral lists this ribosomal RNA (492 nucleotides) under uncultured bacterium. RNAcentral's name for it is "partial 16S ribosomal RNA". It matches the Rfam family "Bacterial small subunit ribosomal RNA", at positions 29 to 507 of the family's 1533-position model. The record is from RNAcentral.